This 274-nucleotide ribosomal RNA is filed under the name uncultured bacterium. Its description in RNAcentral is "partial 16S ribosomal RNA". It matches the Rfam family "Bacterial small subunit ribosomal RNA", at positions 523 to 796 of the family's 1533-position model. The record is from RNAcentral.
AUACGGAGGGUGCAAGCGUUAUCCGGAAUCAUUGGGUUUAAAGGGUGCGCAGGCGGUUUAUUAAGUCAGUGGUGAAAUCUCGGGGCUCAACUCCGAAACUGCCAUUGAUACUGAUAAACUUGAGUUCAGUUGGAGUAGGCGGAAUGUGUAGUGUAGCGGUGAAAUGCUUAGAUAUUACACAGAACACCGAUAGCGAAGGCAGCUUACUAAACUGAUACUGACGCUGAGGCACGAAAGCGUGGGGAGCGAACAGGAUUAGAAACCCUAGUAGUCC